GAUGAACGCUGGCGGCGUGCUUAACACAUGCAAGUCGAACGGGGAUUAUUUUGACAGAGACUUCGGUUGAAGUCGUUAUAAUCCUAGUGGCGGACGGGUGAGUAACGCGUGGGUAACCUGCCUCACACUGGGGGAUAACAGUCAGAAAUGACUGCUAAUACCGCAUAAGCGCACGGGAUUGCAUGAUCCAGUGUGAAAAACUCCGGUGGUGUGAGAUGGACCCGCGUUGGAUUAGCCAGUUGGCAGGGUAACGGCCUACCAAAGCGACGAUCCAUAGCCGGCCUGAGAGGGUGGACGGCCACAUUGGGACUGAGACACGGCCCAGACUCCUACGGGAGGCAGCAGUGGGGAAUAUUGCACAAUGGGGGAAACCCUGAUGCAGCGACGCCGCGUGAAGGAAGAAGUAUCUCGGUAUGUAAACUUCUAUCAGCAGGGAAGAAAAUGACGGUACCUGACUAAGAAGCCCCGGCUGACUACGUGCCAGCAGCCGCGGUAAUACGUAGGGGGCAAGCGUUAUCCGGAUUUACUGGGUGUAAAGGGAGCGUAGACGGAGCAGCAAGUCUGAUGUGAAAGGCAGGGGCUCAACCCCUGGACUGCAUUGGAAACUGUUGAUCUUGAGUACCGGAGAGGUAAGCGGAAUUCCUAGUGUAGCGGUGAAAUGCGUAGAUAUUAGGAGGAACACCAGUGGCGAAGGCGGCUUACUGGACGGUAACUGACGUUGAGGCUCGAAAGCGUGGGGAGCAAACAAGAUUAGAUACCCUGGUAGUCCACGCCGUAAACGA
Molecule: ribosomal RNA, 782 nt
Filed under: uncultured bacterium
Lineage: Bacteria
Description: bacterial SSU rRNA
Rfam family: Bacterial small subunit ribosomal RNA
Source: RNAcentral